ACAUGUAAUCAACCAAAUUUUGAAGUAGUCAAACGAAUCUUUGAAGAAAAGUUUAUGAAACCGUUGGUUCAAAAACUUCUUUGCAAUCCUCUAGCAAGGACCUCGAUCAUACCCUAAAAUAUUAUAUAAAUUGGGAGAUAUAUAUUCUUUUUUUCAGCUACACAGACAAGGAGAAAUAGAAAAUAGCGACUGCUCAUGAUAGUCAGUUUCUAUAUGCAUGUCAAGAUAUAAAGCAGACAUAUCUGUAUUUAAUGUGUCCUUUUAACUCGCCAUGGCCAUGUGAGCUAUGACAUGUAGUGUCCAUUCUCAGUGCAAACUUCAUUUUUUCUUCUUCUUGAAAUCCCUUAACCAAUUUCAACCAAACUUUAACUUAAUUAGGUUAUGUGUCCUAUC
RNAcentral lists this long non-coding RNA (393 nucleotides) under Mytilus galloprovincialis (Mediterranean mussel). The record is from RNAcentral. Lineage: Eukaryota; Metazoa; Mollusca; Bivalvia; Mytilida; Mytilidae.